AGCAGCCGCGGUAAUUCCAGCUCCAAUAGCGUAUAUUAAAGUUGUUGCAGUUAAAAAGCUCGUAGUUGAAUUUCGGGAUUGACACAUCGGUCGUGCCUUAAGGGGUAUGAACUGGUGUAGUCAAUUUCUCACCUUCUGGAGAACCGCGAUGCCCUUAAUUGGGUGUCGCGGGGAACCAGGACCUUUACUUUGAAAAAAUUAGAGUGUUUAAAGCAGGCAUUUUGCUUGAAUACAUUAGCAUGGAAUAAUAAAAUAGGACGGCAUGAUUCUAUUUUGUUGGUUUCUAGGAUCACCGUAAUGAUUAAUAGGGAUAGUUGGGGGCAUUAGUAUUCAAUUGUCAGAGGUGAAAUUCUUGGAUUUAUUGAAGACUAACUACUGCGAAAGCAUUUGCCAAGGAUGUUUUCAUUAAUCAAGAACGAAAGUUAGGGGAUCGAAGACGAUCAGAUACCGUCGUAGUCUUAACCAUAAACUAUGCCGACUAGGAAUCAGACGAUGUUAAUUUUUAA
This 506-nucleotide unclassified non-coding RNA is filed under the name uncultured Entrophospora. Its description in RNAcentral is "SSU rRNA". It matches the Rfam family "Eukaryotic small subunit ribosomal RNA", at positions 569 to 1073 of the family's 1831-position model. The record is from RNAcentral. Lineage: Eukaryota; Fungi; Glomeromycota; Glomeromycetes; Entrophosporales; Entrophosporaceae.